AUUGAACGCUGGCGGCAGGCCUAACACAUGCAAGUCGAGCGGAUGAAGGGAGCUUGCUCCUGGAUUCAGCGGCGGACGGGUGAGUAAUGCCUAGGAAUCUGCCUGGUAGUGGGGGAUAACGUCCAGAAACGGGCGCUAAUACCGCAUACGUCCUGAGGGAGAAAGUGGGGGAUCUUCGGACCUCACGCUAUCAGAUGAGCCUAGGUCGGAUUAGCUAGUUGGUGGGGUAAAGGCCUACCAAGGCGACGAUCCGUAACUGGUCUGAGAGGAUGAUCAGUCACACUGGAACUGAGACACGGUCCAGACUCCUACGGGAGGCAGCAGUGGGGAAUAUUGGACAAUGGGCGAAAGCCUGAUCCAGCCAUGCCGCGUGUGUGAAGAAGGUCUUCGGAUUGUAAAGCACUUUAAGCUGGGAGGAAGGGCAGUAAGUUAAUACCUUGCUGUUUUGACGUUACCAACAGAAUAAGCACCGGCUAACUUCGUG
Molecule: ribosomal RNA, 484 nt
Filed under: uncultured bacterium
Lineage: Bacteria
Description: partial 16S ribosomal RNA
Rfam family: Bacterial small subunit ribosomal RNA
Source: RNAcentral